Molecule: unclassified non-coding RNA, 422 nt
Filed under: Hevea brasiliensis (rubber tree)
Lineage: Eukaryota; Viridiplantae; Streptophyta; Magnoliopsida; Malpighiales; Euphorbiaceae
Source: RNAcentral
AAAGCAUCUGCUUGCAUAGGAGUCGCAGCAAGUUGGAUACUCCAAGGUGAAACUCUCUGUGGCCGAGGUAUGCUACAAGUUUCAUCCCAUCUCACCUGAAGGCAUCUCCAUUUUGAUUCUCUCCACCUUAAGGGAUCAACGUCUUCAAUUCUCACAAUGGUACCAGUAAAUCUAUGCUCAACAGUGUCUCUUUCAAAUCUCAUUUCGAAACUCAUCCCUAUGGAGUAAUUAGUGGCAACAGACGCCAUGUACCGAUCAAAUGGAAUGAUAAACUCAGCCCUCGGUCUGGUCCGCCUUGGACGAUGAUAAACAGUAAACAUGGUUCCUCUUGAGAUGGCUUCCCAUGCGGUGGCAACUUCAAUGAGAUACAGUGGAACAUUACUACUCUGCUCUAUCUUGGCUCGUCUAACUCCAACUCCAAU